RNAcentral lists this ribosomal RNA (115 nucleotides) under Chinchilla lanigera (long-tailed chinchilla). Lineage: Eukaryota; Metazoa; Chordata; Mammalia; Rodentia; Chinchillidae. The record is from RNAcentral.
GUCUACGGCUAUACCACCCUGAACGUGCCCAAUCUCGUCUGAUCUCAGAAGCUAAGCAGGGUCAGGCCUGGUUAGUACUUGGAAGGGAGACAACUGAAAUAACCAAAAAUUGUCC